UAAUACGUAGGUGGCGAGCGUUGUCCGGAAUUACUGGGCGUAAAGGGCGCGUAGGCGGCCUGUUAAGUCAGAUGUGAAACCCCCAGGCUCAACUUGGGGAUUGCAUAUGAAACUGAUGGGCUCGAGUGUCGGAGAGGAAAGCGGAAUUCCUAGUGUAGCGGUGAAAUGCGUAGAUAUUAGGAGGAACACCAGUGGCGAAGGCGGCUUUCUGGACGAUAACUGACGCUGAGGCGCGAAAGCGUGGGGAGCAAACAGG
This 256-nucleotide ribosomal RNA is filed under the name uncultured bacterium. RNAcentral describes it as "partial 16S ribosomal RNA". It matches the Rfam family "Bacterial small subunit ribosomal RNA", at positions 521 to 776 of the family's 1533-position model. The record is from RNAcentral.